Molecule: long non-coding RNA, 2757 nt
Organism: Malurus melanocephalus (red-backed fairy wren)
Lineage: Eukaryota; Metazoa; Chordata; Aves; Passeriformes; Maluridae
Exons: 4
Source: RefSeq, a predicted model, not a curated record
GGAGCAGAGCUGGAGCUCUUGCAACAAAACCUGAACAGAGCAGAGAGCUCAGUGUGGUGACAGRGUGCUGUGAGUGCUCCUGAGGAUUUUGAACCCCCUGUCGUGUUUGCAGUGUUUUARAGCACAGCCUGGUGCCAUCGGGUGUCACCUGGAGCCGAGGGGACAGAGUGUAACACGGGAUUUUACACAUCCACUGACUGAGCUCAGAGAAAUCAAACAGCAGCCAGCUGUUGUGAACACUUCCAUGGGAGGUGCCUGAGGAAGGGGCUGGAAGGGCAGCCCCGACUGCUUUUCUUCUGCUGCUGGGCUUGUGGACUCUGUUCUACAACACGGGCACACAGCCUCUCCCAGCUGCUGGWGUUUCAGCUGACAGCACUUGCCACCACACAACAGCUGAGAUUCAGCCUCAUUCUACAGACAAUUUUGUGUUUGUGUCCCAACCAGUGACUCCUGGGUUAUGAUUCCUGCUUAAAGUCCUGUCAAAGGAGAUCACAGAAUGAGGACACUCUGACAGCUCAGCCUCCUGCAGCCUCAGCAAAAUAAUUGCUCAAAUGCAUUGAAAAACUGCAUCAAGGAAAAGCCCCAAGCCAGCACAGUGCUGUGUGUGCACCCAGCCUUGCUGGUAUCUAUAAACCAUAUUUCUUGAGAAGCUUUUCUGGCUUUCUGGGCACCCCUACAUCAGCACAGUAACACCAAGACAUUUUGCCUGGCUUUACAUAGGAAAAAUAAAUGUGGCUGUGAAGAUAAGAUAGAAUAAGAAAACAAAAAAAACUUAUCGUAGUUAAAACAAGGCUCAAGUGAGACCACAUGGAAUGAGACAACAGGGAAGCUGAACAAAGGAAAAUAUUAGAAAAAUGCAGGUUGUAUUUGGUGGAACAAAAUCUUGAAAAGCUGAGGAUGUUUGCAAAGCAGUGCUAGUUCCUGUGGACACUAAGCACUAAAAACCUGCCAGAAUUUAUUAUCCUGAGUUAAAAAAAAAAAAAAAAAAAAAAAAAAAAGAAAAAAGAAAAAAGAAAAAAAAAGGUAACAAUGGCUUUAAUUAUUUGAUUUUUUAAAAGUAGCAGCUCUCUGGACAAAGGUCUCCAGAGAAAAACAGGUAGUGACUAUCAGUGCUGAGAAAACAAAAAUACAGCAAUAUACAUGCAAGAAUCUCACACUACAUCCCACAGAGCAGAAUGCAGCAUUACUUUGGUUGUCCAAUAUAUAGAAGCAGGAGAUACUGAACACCCUUUUUAGCACGUAUCUGGAGAAAUGUUUAUAAGCCCUACAGAAAUAAUUCUCAUCUCACUCUAUGAAAAUAGGGGAAACAAGACUGAUUCUGUGACAAAAGGGUCUGCAGUGGCACACAGACACCUAUUUUCUKUGCACUCAAGCCUUUUUUAUGGUCAUGUCCAUAAAAACAUUACAGUGCCUUCUCCAAGUUUGAGUGAAACUGUCCUGAAAAUACUUCUUUCAAGGCUUAAUCCCUGAAAAACAACAUUUGCUUGGUUCAAACUUUUUGGUCAUUCUUAAAUGAAUUUUAGGAGGAUAAUAUKUAAUGAUGUUCUCAUUGAGUUCCAUCUUGUUUGCAUUACGUCACACAAAAAUGCACUGCAGAAAGGUUUUUCAUAAUGCCAUUAUGCUAUUAGUGAUAGUGGGAGAAAUUGUGAUAUUUAAGUAUCAACAGAAAUAGCUUCAUUGGCUUUCAGAAGAGAUGGGGAAGGAAAGAGAAAARGGGACAAUCAGCUGAUAUGUCAAACAUCCAUAUACAAAUGAUGAUUCAGAGAGGGGUUAUGAUAGUACCGAGGCUAAUGAGACACUACAGAUAAUAAAAGAGACACAAAAUGGAGUUCACUUUAUAAUCUGARUGUAUUAUAGACCUAAUCAAGAGGAAGGAAGAAAACAAAUCAUUGCUUGUGGAAGUGGAGAGGAGGGGGAAAAUGCCAGCAGAUGACUCAAUGCUCCUGGGUCAUUCCAGUUCCAGCUCUCCAUCGACCUGCCUGGGGAAGUUUGAAGGGCACUUUUAAAAAUGCUUCAAGUGGGUCCUAUACUGAAAAGGCAAAGCCAGGACAAGAUUUCUAGAUCUGCCUUUUUACAGAGAGAAAAUAGAGGGAGUCUUGACUGUAGCYGAUGGGGAUGGCUGUGCCUGCAGCAUGAAGUGUGCACUCACAUCUGCCAAUGCUGCUCUGCUGAUCACAAUGGUUUUUAUAUAUAAAAGGUUUGCAUGUACAAGUCUUAUAAUAAAACAAGAUAUUUUCUUUUAAGUUUUCACCUCCUUCAUCAUCCUGCUUUCCUUGUUUGGGAAGGAACUUUUGAUGCUUUUACACUUUCUAGGCACUCCUCUGGUAGCCAAACCUGUGACAGCAGCAAGCACCCAGCAUUCAAACAGCUGAAAGUUUUGGAAACACCCAUCCAGGAUUCAUCUGAAUACUGGAAAUGAAAAUGAGCCCAGCUCAGGGCGCAGCCAACUCCCAUCUGUGGGAACAGAACCCAGUACAGUGAAAAUCUGACAGUUCUGAUUCCUUGUCUGCAUCCUGGGCUUUCUUGAAAGCUUUGUUACUAAGUGCUGAAAGUUAGAAACUCUUUUCAUGCUUUGCUUUCCGAAUUUCAUCGAAGGAAAGAAACCAUUUUGCAACUUCUGUAACACAGCAUCUGAUGUUUUCUGGUUACAUUGAGUACACACACUGGCUUUUAAUUCUUCCAGAAAAAAACGAUUUGAAAGCUUCUGUAUGUGGAACUGAAUCAUCCUGUAUCAAAUUAAAGAGAAAUUCACUAAUA